This 254-nucleotide ribosomal RNA is filed under the name uncultured bacterium. Its description in RNAcentral is "partial 16S ribosomal RNA". It matches the Rfam family "Bacterial small subunit ribosomal RNA", at positions 524 to 776 of the family's 1533-position model. The record is from RNAcentral.
UACGUAGGGGGCAAGCGUUGUCCGGAAUCAUUGGGCGUAAAGCGCGCGUAGGCGGCCCGGUAAGUCCGCUGUAAAAGUCCAGGGCUCAACCCUGGAAAGCCGGUGGAUACUGUCGGGCUAGAGUCCGGAAGAGGCGAGUGGAAUUCCUGGUGUAGCGGUGGAAUGCGGCAGAUAUCAGGAGGAACACCGAUGGCGAAGGCAGCUCGCUGGGACGGUACUGACGCUGAGGCGCGAAAGCGUGGGGAGCGAACAGG